This 616-nucleotide ribosomal RNA is filed under the name uncultured bacterium. RNAcentral describes it as "bacterial SSU rRNA". It matches the Rfam family "Bacterial small subunit ribosomal RNA", at positions 226 to 842 of the family's 1533-position model. The record is from RNAcentral.
UGGGGAUGCGUUCCAUUAGUUAGUUGGCGGGGUAACGGCCCACCAAGACAACGAUGGAUAGGGGUUCUGAGAGGAAGGUCCCCCACAUUGGAACUGAGACACGGUCCAAACUCCUACGGGAGGCAGCAGUGAGGAAUAUUGGUCAAUGGACGAGAGUCUGAACCAGCCAAGUAGCGUGAAGGAUGACUGCCCUAUGGGUUGUAAACUUCUUUUAUAUGGGAAUAAAAUGUUCCACGUGUGGGAUUUUGUAUGUACCAUAUGAAUAAGGAUCGGCUAACUCCGUGCCAGCAGCCGCGGUAAUACGGAGGAUCCGAGCGUUAUCCGGAUUUAUUGGGUUUAAAGGGAGCGUAGGUGGAUUGUUAAGUCAGUUGUGAAAGUUUGCGGCUCAACCGUAAAAUUGCAGUUGAAACUGGCAGUCUUGAGUACAGUAGAGGUGGGCGGAAUUCGUGGUGUAGCGGUGAAAUGCUUAGAUAUCACGAAGAACUCCGAUUGCGAAGGCAGCUCACUGGACUGCAACUGACACUGAGGCUCGAAAGUGUGGGUAUCAAACAGGAUUAGAUACCCUGGUAGUCCACACAGUAAACGAUGAAUACUCGCUGUUUGCGAUAUACAGUAA